GUGCCGAGUCCCGACCAGGGGCAGCCUCGCCGCCGCUCAGCUCGGGAAUCCCUGCCCCCCACCAGCACCUCAGUGGAGGAUACUGCAAGUUCAAGGUAAGUUUAGCCCCAUGCCCGGCUGCCGGGGCUUUGUUGCAGAGCGGCAGGUGAAUCGCGCCCCCCACCCAGCCCCGAAGCCCCCAUGCCAUCCACUGCCCGCGUGGGGGGCGGCUGCUUUCUUGCAAAAUGCCCGCAAGUCAAAGUUCCUGCCUCCCAGCUGGACGCGCCCUCCCGGCCCUGCCGGCUGCUGGCUCUGCAGUUUUCCAAAUGUGGAUGAUGCCACGAGCCAAGAGAAAACUCCACGGCACCCCCGCCGGAGCCGCACGGCGCUGGCACCCACACGGCGCCGGCACCCGCAGCACCCACCUCGCCGGCAGGCACACCCCCACCGCGGUGCCCGGCAAGUUUGCAGGGGCCGUCCCGGCGGCCCAGCGGUGGUGAUGGGCUGAGCAGGACUCACCGCGGAGCCCAGGGCACCCCUGGGGCCGGGCUGGUGACAGCGGCAGCAGCGGCGGGCGCAGGGUCGCGGCUCCCUAGGAGACGCUGCAGCGGCGGCAGCACCAGCCACCUCCUCCGGGAGCCAAUCGCGAAUGCAGGGGUGGGGGCCGAAGCUCGAUGCGUCCGCACUUGGUGGGGGCAGAGAGAGAAAGAAGACACCAGGCACCCCCUCUCCACACCCCUGCCCUUCCCCCAGCCCUCCUGCAGCAGCGCAGACUUAGCAGGAGGGAGAUCUUGAGAGAGAGAGAGAGAGAGAGAGAGAGAGAGAGAGAGAGAGAGAAGAGAGAGACGGCGCUGGUGCAGAGUUAGGGAGAGGCGGCCGAGCUGCACACCUUGAGCCCCGGCCUCCUCCGAAGGGAGCCCCCGCACCCCAGCGGGGUCAGCACAAGGUUGAGAAGGUAGAGGUCAGCGUUGAACAAAAGGGAAGGUCCCGCGGGUGUGCACGCUCUCGCAGGCACACAGCCGGCUCGCGGAGACACAGGGGCGGGGGAGGGGAGGGGAGGGGAGGGCCUGACCUGAGAGGCCAGAGCGGGCGUGGGGGCCCCCCUCGGGUCAGGAGCCGGCCUCACCUUUGCAGUUCUUAUAUACCCGGCCAAGCAUCCCAAACACGCGGCCCUGGCCAAGUGGCCCCCUCGGGCUGCGCUCCCUGACCAUAUUUAGUCAAGCAGGGGAAAAAAUAGCCUGUCAGCUGGGCCGCGGCUGGCCCGGCCACCGGGAACAGGGUGGGAGCACCCACGCCAUUGACGGCGGGUCCCGGGCUCAGGCUGCUGUCCUGCCCCUCCCGGCCCCUCCCUGACAGGCCUCCCACCGGCUGUCCCUGCCCGAGAUCCCCCCGCUAUUUUUAGCCCAGCCAGUAAAGAGGCGCCUCCUCGGUAGCCGGGCAGCAGCCUCCAUGCCACGCCAGCCGGCUCCUAGGGUGCCCUGGGGAGACCCGGGCAUCUCCCAGGCUGCAGGGCCAGGGGUGGGGGGGGGGGCGGGCAGAAUGGUACGGCCUCAUUCACUGCUCUGAGCCUCCAGUGGGCUGAGCCCACCCAGGCCACCAGGAAUGGGUGGCCCCCUCCACAGUCCCGUCGGCUCUGCCCUUUUGCCUAGAAUUGGGGCCAGGAUCAGGUGGUGACGGAGCCACCUGGGUUUCCGGAGACUCUCAAGCCAACCCCAAGUCAUGACAAAUGCCAGUCGCCUUGGACAGAAGCAGGCCAACCUGCUUGCCGCCCCCAGCCAGGCCCUGCCACCAAGGGUGUGUGAUGGGGAGACCCCAAUCCCAGGGCCUGGACGCAGAGACCAGAGGCCUGAACUGGCAGACUGUCCUCACAGGCUGUGUGACGCUGGCUGGUCGUCCCAUCUCUCUGGGGCCCCACAGGACUGGGGACCAGGUCGUGGAAUGACAGUGGACCACAGUGGUCCGGGGACCCCGCUCGUUGGUGGCAGGCACAGGCCCGUGUGAUGGGGACAAUGAGCUUUGGUAUUUGUUCACCUCCUGGGCUCACGGCCCCUUCCCCACAUCCCAAGGCCGGCUCUGCAGAGUCAUGGGGAGAAGAAGCCGGAGCCCCAGCCACACUCGCCACACACGCCGACACCCACUCUGGUGUCCUCCGGCCAGCGACAGCGAGGGACAGAGGGAUGCCCCCUGCACCUGCCCAGUGCAGAGGCUUCUUGAGUGAUGCCAGGCCCUUCUCCCAGCCCUGUACGCCCCGCUAAGGACUCCGGGUCUCACUAUAAAGGAGGCCAGGAGGUUUUAAGCUUCUACCUGGUCUGAGCACUUUUCUGGAAACUAAAUAGCCACUCGGCUUCCCACUGGCAGCGGGAGAGCGUGGUGUGAGGUGCGGUGUCCAAACUCCCCCUGCAAGGCCCCUCCCCUGCAGCCCACUUUCUCCUGCCUGCCGUCUCCAGGCAUGGUUGAGUGGGGCAGGCCAGGCCUGCAGCUGGGGUCAGGGGCAUAGACAGCCACAGUGGGGGAGGUGGGGAGCAGUCUGCAGGCCUGGGCAGGCGGCUCUGUAAAGGAUGCGGGUGCUCUGUGGUGGUGAGAGAGAGGGUGUGCAGCGGACGUGGCCAUAAAUCACCCUCCUCACGGCAGCCCCACACCCACGGACCAGGGCACGGGCACAGGGCCAUCUCCUUCCAGGAGAAGGGCUGGUGUGGGUGGCCAGAUCUGAUGGCCCCCAGGCCGUAGGACAGAGCCAGAAGACAGAGCAGUUCCCCCGUUUACCCAUAGCACCAGCCUCACAGUAACAGCCGGCACACAGCACUUAGGCUGCCUGGUGUUCCAGAAGCUUCUGCAGGGGCCCUAUGCUGCACUCAAGGCAUCCCUAAGAGGAGAGCAUUUUGCUGUCCCCACUUUACCGAGAAGGAACCUGGGCUCAGGGUGGUUUCAGGCGUGAAUGAAUGAAGGAGCAAGCAGUAAGCCCCGACAGCAAGGCCACCACAGCCCUCGCCCCACAGGGACGCCUGAGCAAGGACCCAAGCAGGGGACAAGCAGGCUCACCCCGCCCUUGCGGGGCUAACCACGAGGCCUCGUCCGGUGGAACACGCCAUGACGCUUCAGAAGGCUCAUGUAGCUGGCGCCGUAUGGGACAGCGGGGGAGAGAGAAAAUGCACAGCCCAGGGAAUGUGGAGACAGGCCCAGCGCCAGGCAUGGGGGCUGGAAGGAGCAGCCGGGGAGCAGGGGGCAGGGCCUGGAGUCCCGCCUUGCAGAUCUGAACCUGCCCCAGCCUCAGGACUCUGAGUGCAGCCAGAGGGGAGCCGGGCUGGAGAGUGGGGAGCACGGAGACUGUGACCUGGAUGGUGCCAGAGCGAACAGGAGAGAGGCUGCCCCACGCAGAGGCUGCGGCACAGCCCAGAGGGUCCCGGGGCUGACUGGGUGGGGGCAGCUCCCAGCGAGAGGCCCCUGGGAUUUGGGUAAGUAGAGGCACAUGCAGACUCUGGCCACAGGGCACCUCGCGCACGAGGGGAGUUCACCACACAAGCUGAGCGGAGGGCGGACGCAGGAGAGCAGCGGUGUCUCGGAAGCCAAGGGCGGUCAUGGAGCCCCACGCCACAGCGCUUCCCACAGGGCCACACCAUCCGGUCUGCGGAGGGGGCUGCAUUGCCGGGAAGGACCAUCUGAUUCUGGAUUCCAGCCUCACCCUGGGCCACCGCUGAGUGUCCCAAGUGGCCCCUUAGCCCCCAGGGCCAGGCGGCAUCCCAAUCCCCUAGGGAUGUCUGUGCUCAGAAUGUGGCACACACGCCCCGGCAGGGCCAUCCUCCUCCUCCUGCACCCGCCACAGCCGUGGGUUCGGGGUCUCUGUCGUGGGCAGAAAUUCACACAGUCAAGGUGAGGGUCCCAGGAGCAGCUGUGACCAGGCCCUGGCUGCCAGGGAGAGGGGGUCUUCAGCCGACGGGGCAGACACCCUGAGAUGGACCCUCGUCCAGGGGAGGGCCCUGCCACCCACAAUUCCUUGGCAUUCCUGCACCAGCCGGACGGGCUGAGGGAGGCGCCUCGCCAGUGUCAGUGCCCGGCAUCACUGUGCCCCGGUGGAGGGGGAGGCUCUUCCGAGCCUGGGCCUGGGUGUGGAUGAGGGCAGGUUUCUCACCUCUCUGACCUCAGCUUCCUCAACUGGGAAGGGGGGCCGCAGCACCCCCUUAGGGGUGAUGAGGAAGUGGGAGCUCAGGGAGGACCCCGGGCAGGGCUGCCUCCUCACCUCUCUUCAGCCUUUGGCCACUGGAGCUCAGAGGACCAAGUGAAUGAAUGAAUGACUCAAUCAAUCAACUGAUCCAUCAAUCCAUGGACCCCUGAACAGCUGGACAGCUGGGCUGUGGGCAGGACAGGGGACUCUGACUGAAGCCGCGUUCAUAUGUGUUCAGCUUUAGGCCUCCACUGUGCCCGGACCAGCGGCCCACUCAGUGAGUCGAGUGUGCACCUGGCACCCCUCUUUCUGGAAAUCCACGAACAAUGGACUCCCAGCAGAGGACUGAGGCUGAGCAGGCCACUUACCUGGAGCUGACCCCACAGCUGUGUAGGUACAGGGUGGCCGUGAACACUUAGGGCUCUCUCAGGCUGUGCACUUCUUGUUCACCGCAGGAAGCAGGGUGUUGGCUCCUGACCAAGCCCUGUCACUGCUGCCCAGCCACACGUGGGGCCCCCUUCACCCACCCCUGACCACCUCAUGCAGGUGAAGCCACUGUGGAAACAGCCUGGCAGUCCCUUGAAAAAUGAAGUCAUAAACCCCAGCAAUUGCGCUCCUGGGCCUCUGACAGAGCUUGCACGUCCCCCCAAAGCUCAUGUUUAGCUGUGAGCCCCAGUGCUGGAGGUGGGGCCUGGUGUGUUUGGGUUCUGGGGGUGGAUCCCUCAUGGCUGGGUGCCAUGAACCCACUCACCACAGUGAGUUCUCACGAGAUCCGGUUGUUGAGAAGUGUGUCGUACCUCCCCCACAACUCUCUGUCUUUUGUUCCGGCUCUGGCCAUGUAACAAGCCUGCUCCUCCUUCACCUUCUGCCAUGACUGUAAGCUUUCUGAGGGCUGACCAGAAGCCCAGCAGAUGCCAGCAUCAUGCUUCCUAUACAGCCUGCAGAACCACAAGCCAGCUAAACCUCUCCUCAUAAAUCACCGAGCCCCAGGUUUAUCUUUACAGCAAUGCAAGACCUGACUAAUACAGCACAAGCUCCCCAAAAUAAAAAGAAAUAUUCAAACAAAUAGGCGCACAGAAGUGUUCCCAGCAGCACUAUUCACAGCAGCCAAAAGGCGGAGGAGCCACAGGCCUGUCAGCUGAUGACAGAUAAAGAAAGCAUGGCCUGUCAUCCCAGCACUUUGGGAGGCCGAGGCGGGUGGAUCACCUGAGGUCAGGAGUUCAAGACCAGCCUGGCCAACAUGGUGAAACCCAGUCUCUACUAAAAAUAUAAAAAUUAGCUGGGUGUGGUGAUGAGCACCUGUAGUCCCAGCUACUUGGGAGGCUGAGGAACAAGAAUCGCUUGAACCCGGGAGGCAGAGGUUGCAGUGAACCGAGAUCAUGCCAUUGCUCUCCAGCCUGGGUAACAGAGUGAGAUUCUGUCUCUAAAUAAAUGAAUAAAUAAAUGAAGUGCGGCAUAUCCAUGUGAGGGAAUAGCAUUCAGCCCUAAAAAGGGAUGAUGCGGGGACAUGAGCGGUAACACGAAGUGCCUGAAAACCCUGCUCGGCGGGAGAAGCAGACACAGAGACCACCGGUUGCAGGAUUCCGCUGAUAGGAGAUGCACAGAGCGGGCAGCUCCAUGGAGACAGAAAGCAGAUUCCACGGUGCGGGGGCGGGGAGAGGAAAGGGAGUGACUGCUUAAUGGGCUCCAGAGCUCCUCAGGGAGGGAUGAAAGUGUCUGGGGAGUAGACAGAGGUGGCGGCUGCAGAGUGUGGCAAAUGUGCUACAUGCCACCGAACCACACUUGUUAAAGUGGUCAUUGUAUGUCAUGUGAAUUUCACCUCUGUUUAAAAAAAAAGCCCAGCUCAGAGUCCAGCCCCAAACCUCUCUCAGUGACCUCUGCCCUGGGACACAGGGCCACCCAGACCGUGAGCUUGGGGCCCUUCAGGCUGCCCACUGAGGAGGGGCAGCUACUGCUGAGGUCUGACCUUGCCUCUCCUGAUGCCCCAGCCACAGUUGGGAGAGAGGCAGGGUGGCGGGUGGCUGCCCUCCUGGCCAAGGACACCGUCCCCGGGCCAGUCACAGGUUUGCCAGGGAGGGCCAUAAGAGACCUCAGCGUUAGCACUGCCCAAGCCAGUCUGCUGCUGUCAUAUUCCCUGUGUGGGGACACAGUAAUGCCCACUCCCCCUAAGGAUGUACAUGUCCCAGUCCAAGAACCCGUGGCCGUGCCACCUUAUGUGGCAGCAGGGACUCUGCAGGAGGGACGGAGCAGGAUCACGCUGGAUGCUCUCUGUGGGCCCAGUGUCCUCACAGGGUCCUUAGGAGAGGGGGUGGGAGGGUCAGAGUCAGGGGGAGCCUGGAAGACAUAGCACAGAUGGCUUUAAAGGAGGGGCCACGGGUGAAAGCGCGGGAACCUCCAGACCCUGGAGAGGGCAGGACCCGGAUUCUCCCCAGGGCCUCCAGCAGCCAGCCCUUUCAACACAUGGACUUUAGAUUUAUUUCACUUUUGGGACUGCAAGAGAAUAAACUGUGACUUUUGUUACAGCAGCCAUGGGAGACUCAUGACCUCGCCCCUCCCUCACACAUCUUUCCAGGAGACC
This is a long non-coding RNA of Gorilla gorilla gorilla (western lowland gorilla), 6716 nucleotides long. RefSeq lists it as uncharacterized. The record is from RefSeq and is a predicted model, not a curated record. NCBI's taxonomy places the organism in Eukaryota, Metazoa, Chordata, Mammalia, Primates, Hominidae. The transcript has 7 exons.